UAAGGGAGGACUGGGCUGGUGACGCUGCCUCCUCCCCUAAACAGCCACCCCCUCCCCCCCAUUCUCAGAUUUAAUUCUUCCCAAAGGAACACACACCUCCCCUUAAGACCUUUCGGUGACCACAGUGGCUGGGACCCUGGACAGCAAAGACCUAAAGGGUCUCUCCUCAACUCUGGCAGAGCCUGCUGAUGAGGUCUGAGCCCCAUCAGUGUCUGUGUCACCCCCGGGAAUGCCCCGGCUUCACCUCAGUACCAGCCUCGGUUCCUUCACCUGGGUUCCAGCAGGGGACCACUCAGGAAGCCUCAGGGCCAAAACCUGUUUUGUUGACCCACCUCUGAGACUCAGAAAAACUGAAUGACUUGCGUACAGUCAGUGAAAGAUCCAGAUCUUUCAGAGGCAGCCAGCUCACAGGACACCUCUGCGACCUAGGCCUGGAUGCACACCAACCUCACAGCCACCAUUUGAACUCUUCUUGUCUAUGUGGUCUCCUCUCUAUACCCCUAGCAUGGCACAUACAUUCUGCCAGUGCUUUUGAUGUUUUUACCACUUGAAAUGUCUCCUCCCCAACUCCUUUGCCCCAAUCAAAUUCCUCUCUUCAUUUAAGACCUAGAAAAUACUCAUUUCCGUUAU
Molecule: long non-coding RNA, 630 nt
Organism: Budorcas taxicolor (takin)
Lineage: Eukaryota; Metazoa; Chordata; Mammalia; Artiodactyla; Bovidae
Exons: 4
Source: RefSeq, a predicted model, not a curated record